Long non-coding RNA from Oncorhynchus tshawytscha (Chinook salmon), 464 nucleotides. RefSeq lists it as uncharacterized. Lineage: Eukaryota; Metazoa; Chordata; Actinopteri; Salmoniformes; Salmonidae. The record is from RefSeq and is a predicted model, not a curated record. The transcript is spliced from 3 exons.
GAAAUACUUCUCCACAGCAAGUAGGCUACUCAGAACAGCUAGGCUGCUCUCCUGACUGGGUCCUGGAGCCUACAGUAAGGGGUGAAACGACUGUGUGACCUGGGCUGCAAACUCAGAAUGCUCUUCUUGCACUCACCUACAUUGUCCCACUACGGGAAAGUAGAACAUCGGCUGCACCCUUCCCACCUCUUGACUGGCUUCUAAUGCCACUACUGAUUGCAGCCGGUAGCAACAAGAAGAAGCACUGAGUGAUGUGUGUGGUCCCAAGAAGGACAGGAGGACAUAGUACACAUUCAAGUGGAAGAAAUACAUUUGCAAUACACACACACAGUACAACUCUGUCCCUUAUGUGGGGUGUAGACCGGCCUAAAUCUGUUCAAUUUGUGCUCAUUUCUCAUUUCCAUAAAAUACUGUAUGUAAAAUGUGUCCUUUGUUCAGUUCAAAGCAAUAAACAUCAAUAGUGA